This 253-nucleotide ribosomal RNA is filed under the name uncultured bacterium. RNAcentral's name for it is "partial 16S ribosomal RNA". It matches the Rfam family "Bacterial small subunit ribosomal RNA", at positions 524 to 776 of the family's 1533-position model. The record is from RNAcentral.
UACAGAGGUCUCGAGCGUUGUUCGGAUUCAUUGGGCGUAAAGGGCGCGUAGGCGGCGGGGUAAGUCUGGUGUGAAAUCUCGGAGCUCAACUCCGAAAUUGCACUGGAUACUGCUCUGCUAGAGGGCUGGAGAGGAGAUCGGAAUUCACGGUGUAGCAGUGAAAUGCGUAGAUAUCGUGAGGAACACCGGUGGCGAAGGCGGCAUCCUGGACCAAUUCUGACGCUGAUGAGCGAAAGCCAGGGGAGCAAACGGG